RNAcentral lists this transfer RNA (77 nucleotides) under Staphylococcus aureus COAS6095. RNAcentral's name for it is "tRNA-Ile". It matches the Rfam family "tRNA". From Rfam's summary of the family: Transfer RNA (tRNA) molecules are approximately 80 nucleotides in length. Their secondary structure includes four short double-helical elements and three loops (D, anti-codon, and T loops). Further hydrogen bonds mediate the characteristic L-shaped molecular structure. tRNAs have two regions of fundamental functional importance: the anti-codon, which is responsible for specific mRNA codon recognition, and the 3' end, to which the tRNAs corresponding amino acid is attached (by aminoacyl-tRNA synthetases). tRNAs cope with the degeneracy of the genetic code in two manners: having more than one tRNA (with a specific anti-codon) for a particular amino acid; and 'wobble' base-pairing, i.e. permitting non-standard base-pairing at the 3rd anti-codon position. The record is from RNAcentral. Lineage: Bacteria; Bacillati; Bacillota; Bacilli; Caryophanales; Staphylococcaceae.
GGGCCUAUAGCUCAGCUGGUUAGAGCGCACGCCUGAUAAGCGUGAAGUCGGUGGUUCGAGUCCACUUAGGCCCACCA